RNAcentral lists this transfer RNA (73 nucleotides) under Thermodesulfitimonas autotrophica. It matches the Rfam family "tRNA". From Rfam's summary of the family: Transfer RNA (tRNA) molecules are approximately 80 nucleotides in length. Their secondary structure includes four short double-helical elements and three loops (D, anti-codon, and T loops). Further hydrogen bonds mediate the characteristic L-shaped molecular structure. tRNAs have two regions of fundamental functional importance: the anti-codon, which is responsible for specific mRNA codon recognition, and the 3' end, to which the tRNAs corresponding amino acid is attached (by aminoacyl-tRNA synthetases). tRNAs cope with the degeneracy of the genetic code in two manners: having more than one tRNA (with a specific anti-codon) for a particular amino acid; and 'wobble' base-pairing, i.e. permitting non-standard base-pairing at the 3rd anti-codon position. The record is from Rfam by way of RNAcentral. Lineage: Bacteria; Bacillati; Bacillota; Clostridia; Thermoanaerobacterales; Thermoanaerobacteraceae.
GGGGGAGUAGCUCAAUUGGUAGAGCAGCGGUCUCCAAAACCGAAGAUUGUGGGUUCGAGUCCUGCCUCCCCCG